RNAcentral lists this transfer RNA (110 nucleotides) under Penicillium decumbens. It matches the Rfam family "tRNA". From Rfam's summary of the family: Transfer RNA (tRNA) molecules are approximately 80 nucleotides in length. The record is from Rfam by way of RNAcentral. Lineage: Eukaryota; Fungi; Ascomycota; Eurotiomycetes; Eurotiales; Aspergillaceae.
GCCCCACUGGCGCAAUGGUAGCGCGCUUGACUUCUACUAGUAGAUCUACUAUAUAGUUACUAUGUGGGAAGCUAAUCAAGAGGCUGCCGGUUCGACCCCGGCGUGGGGCU